RNAcentral lists this transfer RNA (70 nucleotides) under Anastatus formosanus. RNAcentral describes it as "tRNA-Gln". The record is from RNAcentral. Lineage: Eukaryota; Metazoa; Arthropoda; Insecta; Hymenoptera; Eupelmidae.
UAUAUGUAAAUGUAAAUUUGCAUGAUAAUUUUUGAAAUUAUUUGAAUUAAAUAAUAAUUAAUAUAUAUAA